RNAcentral lists this ribosomal RNA (776 nucleotides) under uncultured Neocallimastigales. RNAcentral's name for it is "partial large subunit ribosomal RNA". It matches the Rfam family "Eukaryotic large subunit ribosomal RNA", at positions 26 to 643 of the family's 3401-position model. Lineage: Eukaryota; Fungi; Neocallimastigomycota; Neocallimastigomycetes; Neocallimastigales. The record is from RNAcentral.
CGUCUAUAUACGUAUAGCAUAUCAAUAAGCGGAGGAAAAGAAACUAACAAGGAUUCCCUUAGUAACGGCGAGUGAAGCGGGAAGAGCUCAAAUUUGAAAUCUUCAAGGUUCUACCUUGACGAAUUGUAGUUUAUAGAAGUGUUUUCUGUUAGUAGAGUGGCAAAAGUUCUUUGGAAUAGGACAUCAUAGAGGGUGAGAAUCCCGUAUUUGGUCAUUCUUUCUAGCUUUGUGAUACACUUUCAACGAGUCGGAUUGUUUGGGAAUGCAGUCCAAAAUGGGUGGUAAAUUUCAUCUAAAGCUAAAUAUUGGCGAGAGACCGAUAGCGAACAAGUACCGUGAGGGAAAGAUGAAAAGAACUUUGUAAAGAGAGUUAAACAUGUACGUGAAAUUGUCAAAAGGGAAGCGUUUGACACCAGUGUUGUUUUUCCGAAAAUCAAUUACGAAUGUUUUGUUUUUGAAGAAGUUAUGACUUCAUCGGCUUGCUUCUCUCUUUACGAAACUUUCUUAAUGCACUUUUCGGUUAACAAGUCAACAUCAAUUUCUUUUGUUGUAAAAGGGUAUGAGGAAGGUGGCUUUCUUUUCGGAGAAAGUGUUUAUAGCCUUGUACCUCUGCAAUCGGAGAGAUUGAGGUCUGCAGCGUAGAUCCUUCGGGGUUAGAUACAUUUGUGCUAAGUUAUAGCUUUUCAUAGACAACUUGUUGACUAUGUUAAGUCUUGUAGCUUACUCGCUUAUGCUAUUUUACCUACGCUUAGGAUGUUGAUAUGCAUGACUGAUAU